UAAUCCCAUCACUAGCUCUUGGCCCAAUAUGCCUUGCUCUGUCCUGGCUACCACUCUUGCUGUUCUUACCACUGUUUUGCAGGAGCUGGAGCUUGUUCUUGAAGGGCAGUGCACCUGGGAGAUCUGUGUGUACCUGGUCUACCUCCUGGCUCCUGCUGGGACAACCAGCUGUUUGUACCUGCUCCUCGCAACUCGUCACCUCCGUGAGAAGCUCUCCUGGCAGCAGCAGCACGGUGACUUCUCCUCACAGUGGCCUGCAAAAGGAAGCAGUAGCCCCUGCUCCCCAGGAUGCAUGCUGAAGCACGACCCUUUCCAGGAGGGUUUGUGUUGUGCCAAGCCUCGACUGAACCUGCCACGUGGGAAGGAGCCACAGCCCGUCGUGGGCAGCCUGAUCCGCUGUCACCGAUUCCUCCGAGCAUCACAGGGCUGUCUGUUCCGCAUUUCAUAUCACUGAAAUAAACAGUAUUGCUUGAGAAGCA
Anas platyrhynchos (mallard) is the source of this 479-nucleotide long non-coding RNA. RefSeq lists it as uncharacterized. The record is from RefSeq and is a predicted model, not a curated record. Lineage: Eukaryota; Metazoa; Chordata; Aves; Anseriformes; Anatidae.